AGAUCUCCUUAGCCAGGUCCAAUUAGGGGACCACUGAGAGGGAGCAGCUAAGAUCAAGUGUAGUAUCUGUUCUCAUCAGUUUAAUAUCUGAUACGUCCCCUAUCUGGGGACCAUAUGUACCACAUGUACCUUCU
Molecule: small nuclear RNA, 134 nt
Filed under: Pelobates cultripes (western spadefoot toad)
Lineage: Eukaryota; Metazoa; Chordata; Amphibia; Anura; Pelobatidae
Rfam family: U2 spliceosomal RNA
About the family: U2 is a small nuclear RNA (snRNA) component of the spliceosome (involved in pre-mRNA splicing). Complementary binding between U2 snRNA (in an area lying towards the 5' end but 3' to hairpin I) and the branchpoint sequence (BPS) of the intron results the bulging out of an unpaired adenosine, on the BPS, which initiates a nucleophilic attack at the intronic 5' splice site, thus starting the first of two transesterification reactions that mediate splicing.
Source: RNAcentral